CGCGUGGUUCUAUUUUGUUGGUUUUUAGAACCGCCGUAAUGAUUAAUAGGGACAGUCGGGGGCAUCUGUAUUCAAUUGUCAGAGGUGAAAUUCUUGGAUCUAUUGAAGACAAACUACUGCGAAAGCAUUUGCCAAGGAUGUUUUCAUUGAUAAGGAACGAAAGUUAGGGGAUCGAAGACGAUCAGAUACCGUCGUAGUCUUAACUAUAAACUAUGCCGACUAGGGAUCGGACGAUGUUAUUUUUUGACUCGUUCGGCACCUUUCGAGAAAUCAAAGUGCUUGGGCUCCAGGGGGAGUAUGGUCGCAAGGCUGAAACUUAAAGAAAUUGACGGAAGGGCACCACCAGGGGUGGAACCUGCGGCUUAAUUUGACUCAACACGGGGAAACUCACCAGGUCCAGACACAGUGAGGAUUGACAGAUUGAUAGCUCUUUCUUGAUUCUGUGGGUGGUGGUGCAUGGCCGUUCUUAGUUGGUGGAGUGAUUUGUCUGCUUAAUUGCGAUAACGAACGAGACCUUAACCUGCUAAAUAGCCCGUUCUGCUCCGGCAGUACGCUGGCUUCUUAGGGGGACUAUCGGCUCAAGCCGAUGGAAGUUUGAGGCAAUAACAGGUCUGUGAUGCCCUUAGAUGUCCUGGGCCGCACGCGCGUUACACUGACAAAGCCAGCGAGUAUUUCCUUAGCCGGAAGGCUUGGGUAAUCUUGUUAAACUUUGUCGUGC
Molecule: ribosomal RNA, 718 nt
Filed under: uncultured fungus
Lineage: Eukaryota; Fungi
Description: SSU rRNA
Rfam family: Eukaryotic small subunit ribosomal RNA
Source: RNAcentral